This 489-nucleotide ribosomal RNA is filed under the name uncultured bacterium. RNAcentral describes it as "partial 16S ribosomal RNA". It matches the Rfam family "Bacterial small subunit ribosomal RNA", at positions 30 to 506 of the family's 1533-position model. The record is from RNAcentral.
AUUGAACGCUGGCGGCAGGCCUAACACAUGCAAGUCGAGCGGCAGCGGAAAGUAGCUUGCUACUUUGCCGGCGAGCGGCGGACGGGUGAGUAAUGUCUGGGAAACUGCCUGAUGGAGGGGGAUAACUACUGGAAACGGUAGCUAAUACCGCAUAACGUCGCAAGACCAAAGAGGGGGACCUUCGGGCCUCUUGCCAUCAGAUGUGCCCAGAUGGGAUUAGCUAGUAGGUGGGGUAACGGCUCACCUAGGCGACGAUCCCUAGCUGGUCUGAGAGGAUGACCAGCCACACUGGAACUGAGACACGGUCCAGACUCCUACGGGAGGCAGCAGUGGGGAAUAUUGCACAAUGGGCGCAAGCCUGAUGCAGCCAUGCCGCGUGUAUGAAGAAGGCCUUCGGGUUGUAAAGUACUUUCAGCGGGGAGGAAGGUGUUGAGGUUAAUAACCUCAGCAAUUGACGUUACCCGCAGAAGAAGCACCGGCUAACUCCGU